GGGAACUGUUAUUCAAGUGUGACAAGUUCUUGGAAGCAGUGAGCUUCACCACCCCUCUAGAAGGCCUUGCCAUCCCCCAAUCGGCUUGUCACCUGAGUUUCAUCGCCAGAAUUCUCCCUGGUGACUCCUAUGCGCCUUCACAGGUUCUCCAAGCUUGCUACAUGCAUCGGCGCGUGAAGAUAGCUCCGACCCCCUUUCCUGCCAAAAUCAACUCCGGCCACCUCGCCAAAAGCCGGCAACUCAUCCCUGUACCAACACCCCUUCUAGGUCCUUCAUCUUCUCACUUCUAAAGGGGAAGCAAUGAUUCGGUCUUUCCU
Molecule: unclassified non-coding RNA, 317 nt
Filed under: Hevea brasiliensis (rubber tree)
Lineage: Eukaryota; Viridiplantae; Streptophyta; Magnoliopsida; Malpighiales; Euphorbiaceae
Source: RNAcentral